AUCGCUUCUCAGCCUUUUGGCUAAGAUCAAGUGUAGUAUCUGUUCUUAGUUUAAUAUCUGAUAUGUCCUCUAUCUGAGGACAUUAUAUUAAAUGGAUUUUUGGAGCUGGGAGAUGGAGUAGGAGCUUGCUUUGUCCACUCCACGAAUCGACCCAGUAUUGCAGUACUUCCCGGAAUGCUGUACCUCCU
Molecule: small nuclear RNA, 188 nt
Organism: Phyllostomus hastatus (greater spear-nosed bat)
Lineage: Eukaryota; Metazoa; Chordata; Mammalia; Chiroptera; Phyllostomidae
Product: U2 spliceosomal RNA
Exons: 1
Source: RefSeq, a predicted model, not a curated record